UACGUAGGUGGCAAGCGUUGUCCGGAAUUACUGGGUGUAAAGGGCGUGUAGGCGGGUUAUUAAGUCAGAUGUGAAAUACCGAGGCUCAACUUCGGGGCUGCAUCUGAAACUGAUGAUCUUGAGUACUGGAGAGGAAAGCGGAAUUCCUAGUGUAGCGGUGAAAUGCGUAGAUAUUAGGAGGAACACCAGUGGCGAAGGCGGCUUUCUGGACAGUAACUGACGCUGAGGCGCGAAAGCGUGGGGAGCAAACAGG
This 253-nucleotide ribosomal RNA is filed under the name uncultured bacterium. Its description in RNAcentral is "partial 16S ribosomal RNA". It matches the Rfam family "Bacterial small subunit ribosomal RNA", at positions 524 to 776 of the family's 1533-position model. The record is from RNAcentral.